AUGGACAGGACUGAGAUUGGGGUCAGGAAACAGAAUGGGAUUGGACUGGGAUGGGAUUGGGAUUGGACUGGGAUGGACAGGACUGGGAUGGGAUUGGGGUCAGGAAAGGAACUGGGCAGGAGUUCAGUCCUGGACUGGAGCCAGAAGUGGGAGGGUUUUGGUCCCAAACUGGUGGGGACUGGAGCCGGGAUUGUUGGGAUUUCACCCCAAACUGGAGCCGGGAUUGUUGGGAUUUUACCCCAAACUGGUGGGGGUUGGGGCCACAACUGCUGGGAUUUCACCCCAAAAUCGCCGGAGUUUGGAGACGCCAAAAUCGCUGGGAAUUGGAGCAAAAAUCAUCAGGAAUUGGAACCAAAAUCAUCAGGAACUGGACCGAAAAUGAGCAGGGAUCACCCCCAAACUGUUGGGGUUUCAGCCCAAUUUGAAGGGGUUCACACCCCAAAACUGUGGGGAUUUCAGCCCCAAAUCUCUGAGGUUUGGCCCCAAAACUGUCAGGGUUGGAACCCAAAACUAGGGAGAUUUCAGCCCCAAAUCUCUGAGGUUUGUCCCCAAAAUCCCCAACAUUUCAUCCCCAAAUUUCCAGGGAUUGGCCCCAAAACUGUGGGGAUUUCACCCCUAAAUCUCUGGGAUUUACCCCAAAAUCCCCAAAAUUUCAGCCCCAAAUCUCUGGGGUUUGUCCCCAAAACUGAGGGAAUUUCAGCCCUGAAUUUCCAGGGUUUGUCCCCAAAACUGUGGAGAUUUCACCCCCAGAUCUCCAGGAUUUGUCCCCAAAUCCUCCAAAAUUUCAUCCCCAAAUUUUCCAGGGUUUGUCCCCAAAACUGGGGAGAUUUCACCCCUAAAUCUGUCUGGUUUGCCCCCAAAAUUUCAGCCCCAAAUCUCUGGGAUUUGUCUCCAAAACUCUGGGCAUUUCACCCCCAAAUUUCCAGGGUUUGUCCCCAAAUCCCCCAAAAUUUCAGCCCCAAAUUCCUGAACUUUGGGGUCAGAACUUGUGCCCCGAACCCUCCGUGGGUUUCGCUCCCAAAAACGCCCAAAUUCCUCCCAAAUUCGGGGAGGAGUCAGGACCCAAAGUGCUGA
RNAcentral lists this long non-coding RNA (1074 nucleotides) under Serinus canaria (Common canary). Its description in RNAcentral is "lncRNA (ENSSCAG00000001505.1)". The record is from RNAcentral. Lineage: Eukaryota; Metazoa; Chordata; Aves; Passeriformes; Fringillidae.